GACGAACGCUGGCGGCGUGCUUAACACAUGCAAGUCGAACGGAAAGGCCCUGCUUUUGUGGGGUGCUCGAGUGGCGAACGGGUGAGUAACACGUGAGUAACCUGCCCUUGACUUUGGGAUAACUUCAGGAAACUGGGGCUAAUACCGGCUAGGAGCUCCUGCUGCAUGGUGGUGGUUGGAAAGCUUCGGCGGUUGGGGAUGGACUCGGGGCUUAUCAGCUUGUUGGUGGGGUAGUGGCUUACCAAGGCUUUGACGGGUAGCCGGCCUGAGAGGGUGACCGGCCACAUUGGGACUGAGAUACGGCCCAGACUCCUACGGGAGGCAGCAGUGGGGAAUAUUGCACAAUGGGCGGAAGCCUGAUGCAGCAACGCCGCGUGCGGGAUGACGGCCUUCGGGUUGUAAACCGCUUUCGCCUGUGACGAAGCGUGAGUGACGGUAAUGGGUAAAGAAGCACCGGCUAACUACGUG
This 468-nucleotide ribosomal RNA is filed under the name uncultured bacterium. RNAcentral's name for it is "partial 16S ribosomal RNA". It matches the Rfam family "Bacterial small subunit ribosomal RNA", at positions 28 to 507 of the family's 1533-position model. The record is from RNAcentral.